This 305-nucleotide unclassified non-coding RNA is filed under the name plant metagenome. RNAcentral's name for it is "partial contains 5.8S ribosomal RNA, internal transcribed spacer 2, and large subunit ribosomal RNA". The stretch from base 1 to 105 matches the Rfam family "5.8S ribosomal RNA", at positions 50 to 154 of the family's 154-position model. The record is from RNAcentral.
GAAAUGCGAUAAGUAAUGUGAAUUGCAGAAUUCAGUGAAUCAUCGAAUCUUUGAACGCACAUUGCGCCCGCCAGUAUUCUGGCGGGCAUGCCUGUUCGAGCGUCAUUUCAACCAUCAAGCCCCCGGCUUGUGUUGGGGACCUGCGGCUGCCCGCAGGCCCUGAAAAACAGUGGCGGGCUCGCUGUCACACCGAGCGUAGUAGCAUACAUUCUCGCUCAGGGCGUGCUGCGGUUUCCGGCCGUUAAACGACCUUCAUAACCCAAGGUUGACCUCGGAUCAGGUAGGAAGACCCGCUGAACUUAAGC